RNAcentral lists this unclassified non-coding RNA (378 nucleotides) under uncultured Gammaproteobacteria bacterium. RNAcentral describes it as "contains 16S-23S intergenic spacer region". The record is from RNAcentral. Lineage: Bacteria; Pseudomonadati; Pseudomonadota; Gammaproteobacteria.
UCCGGUUCAUCACCAGCAGUCUCCUUAGAGUCCCCACCAUUACGUGAUGGCAACUAAGGAUAAGGGUUGCGCUCGUUACGGGACUUAACCCAACAUCUCACAACACGAGCUGACGACAGCCAUGCAGCACCUGUCUCUAGGUUCCUUGCGGCACUCCAGCAUCUCUGCCAGAUUCCUAGGAUGUCAAGGGUAGGUAAGGUUCUUCGCGUUGCAUCGAAUUAAACCACAUGCUCCACCGCUUGUGCGGGCCCCCGUCAAUUCCUUUGAGUUUUAACCUUGCGGUCGUACUCCCCAGGCGGAGAACUUAUCGCGUUAGCUUCGAUACUAGGGAGUCAAGCUCCCUAACAUCUAGUUCUCAUCGUUUACAGCGUGGACUAC